Musa acuminata AAA Group (dessert banana) is the source of this 600-nucleotide long non-coding RNA. RefSeq lists it as uncharacterized. The record is from RefSeq and is a predicted model, not a curated record. The transcript is spliced from 2 exons. NCBI's taxonomy places the organism in Eukaryota, Viridiplantae, Streptophyta, Magnoliopsida, Zingiberales, Musaceae.
GGCCGUGCGCGGUGGAUGGAUGGACUCAAAUUGAUGACCGGGUAGUCACGAACAUUUAUAUAUAGAGAGAGGAAAAGAGGAGGCGGACGAAGGUAAAGAGAGAGAGAGAGAGAGAGAUACAUACACAGAUCGAGUAUGGCGUCGUCGGGCCGGUGCAUGGUGGUGGUGGCGCUGUGCUUGCUCGUCUUGGGGGAUGUAUCCGUCGCCGCAGCGAGCGCAAUCAACUGCAAUCUUGGAACCGAUAGGUGCUAUGAGGCUUGUCGUGCCAAGGGCCACUGGGAAGUCACAUGUUUCGCCUGCAACUACUUUUGCCCUGCCGUCAGCACGGGCUUCAUCGGCGGCGGCGGAAGUCGCUCUGGCACCAGGGCGCCUUCUCCGACGGCGGACAACAAUUGAUCAGCCUCAAAAUGGCCAUAGAGGCGUGCACGUUGACGAACAGAGGCCCUGUAAUGCACGCUGCGUUUUCAGUCGAUCCUCCUUCCUUCCCUCUCUCUCUCUCUCUCUCUCUCUCUCGCUCUCGCUCUCUCCAUCGUUGUUGAUCACGUAAUGUGCGAGUGUGCACGCCUUUGAUCCUAUGUAAUAAAUAUCAAGAUUUGAUGA